Molecule: long non-coding RNA, 359 nt
Organism: Mus musculus (house mouse)
Lineage: Eukaryota; Metazoa; Chordata; Mammalia; Rodentia; Muridae
Product: predicted gene, 46170
Exons: 2
Source: RefSeq, a predicted model, not a curated record
AAAAAAAGACCACCCCAGUUCCACUCUCCCGACCUUGGAUGCUCAGCUCAAGCCCUGACCCAUGUACAGCUUGUGCUUCUAACCCAGGGCUAUAAAAUGGGGUUUCCUUGUUCCCCACUUGGGACCACAAAACGAGGGAUACUCUCCUAUGUUCACCAUUACAGACCAUUUUCAACAGCCAGACAACAGCCAACAGCAGAGCACAAGUUGUAUAGGAGGGGGCUUGGAGCAUCUCUGUGGUAGCAUGACUGAUUAUGGCACUGGUCGUGAUAAUUAACUCUACCUCCUUUCCCAUCCCUGGAUGUCAAAUAGGGGAGAUCAUGAAGAACUUGGCUUCAGAUAUGAAUCAGCUCGUUUUC